GACGAACGCUGGCGACGUGCUUAACACAUGCAAGUCGAACGGAAAGGCCCUGCUCUUGUGGGGUGCUCGUGUGGCGAACGGGUGAGUAACACGUGAGUAACCUGCCCUUGACUUUGGGAUAACUUCAGGAAACUGGGGCUAAUACCGGAUAGGAGCUCCUGCUGCAUGGUGGGGGUUGGAAAGUUUCGGCGGUGGGGGAUGGACUCGCGGCUUAUCAGCUUGUUGGUGGGGUAGUGGCUUACCAAGCUUUUGAAGGGUAGCCGGCCUGAGAGGGUGACCGGCCACAUUGGGACUGAGAUACGGCCCAGACUGCUACGGGAGGCAGCAGUGGGGAAUAUUGCACAGUGGGCGGAAGCCUGAUGCAGCGACGCCGCGUGCGGGAUGACGGCCUACGGGUUGUAAACCGCUUUCGCCUGUGACGAAGCGUGAGUGACGGUAAUGGGUAAAGAAGCACCGGCUAACUACGUG
RNAcentral lists this ribosomal RNA (468 nucleotides) under uncultured bacterium. Its description in RNAcentral is "partial 16S ribosomal RNA". It matches the Rfam family "Bacterial small subunit ribosomal RNA", at positions 28 to 507 of the family's 1533-position model. The record is from RNAcentral.